GUCAAAGUAGCUCAGCCAGGAGCGCAUUAGACUGAAGAUUUAAAGGUCCCUGCUUGAAUCCCAGGCUUCGGCA
RNAcentral lists this transfer RNA (73 nucleotides) under Chelonia mydas (Green sea turtle). It matches the Rfam family "tRNA". Rfam says of the family: Transfer RNA (tRNA) molecules are approximately 80 nucleotides in length. The record is from Rfam by way of RNAcentral. Lineage: Eukaryota; Metazoa; Chordata; Testudines; Cheloniidae.